GACGUAUUCAAAAAAAAACUACUUACUAGAUCUCGUUCAAACCAAUUUUCGGUGGAAGUUUGCAUGGUAAUGUACAUCAUAUAUUUUUUUUAGUUUUAUCAUUCUCUUAUUUUAGAAGUUACAGGGGGGGGGGACAUAUUUUACCACUUUGGAAGUGUCUCUCGCGCAAACUAUUCAUUUUAGAAAAAAAUGAUAUUAGAAACCUCAAUAUCAUUUUUGAAGACCUAUCCAUAGAUACCCCACACAUAUGGAACUGAAACUCAAAUUUUUUUUUCAUCAAACCCAUACGUGUGGGGUAUCUAUGGAUAGGUCUUCAAAAAUGAUAUUGAGGUUUCUAAUAUCAUUUUUUUCUAAACUGAAUAGUUUGCGCGAGAGACACUUCUAAAGUGGUAAAAUGUGUGUCCCCCCCCCCUGUAACUUCUAAAAUAACAGAAUGAUAAAACUAAAAAAAAUAUAUGAUGUACAUUACCAUGUAAACUUCCACCGAAAAUUGGUUUGAACGAGAUCUAGUAGUUUUUUUUAAUACGUCAUAAA
Molecule: long non-coding RNA, 534 nt
Organism: Cydia amplana
Lineage: Eukaryota; Metazoa; Arthropoda; Insecta; Lepidoptera; Tortricidae
Exons: 2
Source: RefSeq, a predicted model, not a curated record